RNAcentral lists this ribosomal RNA (85 nucleotides) under Bison bison bison. The record is from RNAcentral. Lineage: Eukaryota; Metazoa; Chordata; Mammalia; Artiodactyla; Bovidae.
CGCCCGAUCUCGUCUGAUCUCGGAAGCUAAGCAGGGUCGGGCCUGGUUAGUAUCUUGGAUGGGAGACCACCUGGGAAUCCCGGGU